AUUUUACAGAAGAAACCCUAAAUGGGUAUCUAGCUACAACUAAAAAUAUUGCACAUAAAAUAAAAUAAGAUGAAUUAAAAAUAAAUCUAAAAGCUACCAUGAUCUCUUUUCUCUUGAGUGUCACCACAAGUGUCAUUAUUCCAAGGAGAAGGAUAAUAAAGAGCAGAAUUUUGAUCAUAAGAAGUAGCAGAAGAUGAUCCUCCAUGACCCAUCCUAAAUCUUCCAAAUGUUGAUGGGAUUUCAUUACAAGCAUACCUGAUCAAAUCAGCAUUUGUAGCAUCUAAUUCCUUUUGAAGUCUAAUGACUUGCCUUUGGAGG
Molecule: unclassified non-coding RNA, 318 nt
Filed under: Hevea brasiliensis (rubber tree)
Lineage: Eukaryota; Viridiplantae; Streptophyta; Magnoliopsida; Malpighiales; Euphorbiaceae
Source: RNAcentral